AUACGGAGGAUGCGAGCGUUAUCCGGAUUUAUUGGGUUUAAAGGGAGCGUAGGUGGGAUAUUAAGUCAGCUGUGAAAGUUUGGGGCUCAACCUUAAAAUUGCAGUUGAUACUGGUUUCCUUGAGUACGGUACAGGUGGGCGGAAUUCGUGGUGUAGCGGUGAAAUGCUUAGAUAUCACGAAGAACUCCGAUCGCGAAGGCAGCUCACCGGGCCGGAACUGACACUGAUGCUCGAAAGUGCGGGUAUCUAACAGGAUUAGAUACCCUGGUAGUCCGCACAGUAAACGAUGAAUACUCGCUGUUUGCGAUACACUGUAAGCGGCCAAGCGAAAGCGUUAAGUAUUCCACCUGGGGAGUACGCCGGCAACAGUGAAACUCAAAUGAAUUGACGGGG
This 393-nucleotide ribosomal RNA is filed under the name uncultured bacterium. Its description in RNAcentral is "partial 16S ribosomal RNA". It matches the Rfam family "Bacterial small subunit ribosomal RNA", at positions 523 to 918 of the family's 1533-position model. The record is from RNAcentral.